UACGUAGGGGGCAAGCGUUGUCCGGAAUCAUUGGGCGUAAAGAGCGUGUAGGUGGCUCGGUAAGUCCGCUGUGAAAGUCCAGGGCUCAACCCUGGAAAGCCGGUGGAAACUGUCGAGCUAGAGUCCGGAAGAGGCGAGUGGAAUUCCUGGUGUAGCGGUGAAAUGCGCAGAUAUCAGGAGGAACACCGAUGGCGAAGGCAGCUCGCUGGGACGGUGCUGACACUGAGACGCGAAAGCGUGGGGAGCAAACAGG
RNAcentral lists this ribosomal RNA (253 nucleotides) under uncultured bacterium. RNAcentral describes it as "partial 16S ribosomal RNA". It matches the Rfam family "Bacterial small subunit ribosomal RNA", at positions 524 to 776 of the family's 1533-position model. The record is from RNAcentral.